Molecule: transfer RNA, 72 nt
Filed under: Camelus bactrianus (Bactrian camel)
Lineage: Eukaryota; Metazoa; Chordata; Mammalia; Artiodactyla; Camelidae
Also listed under: 1 other name
Rfam family: tRNA
About the family: Transfer RNA (tRNA) molecules are approximately 80 nucleotides in length. Their secondary structure includes four short double-helical elements and three loops (D, anti-codon, and T loops). Further hydrogen bonds mediate the characteristic L-shaped molecular structure. tRNAs have two regions of fundamental functional importance: the anti-codon, which is responsible for specific mRNA codon recognition, and the 3' end, to which the tRNAs corresponding amino acid is attached (by aminoacyl-tRNA synthetases). tRNAs cope with the degeneracy of the genetic code in two manners: having more than one tRNA (with a specific anti-codon) for a particular amino acid; and 'wobble' base-pairing, i.e. permitting non-standard base-pairing at the 3rd anti-codon position.
Source: Rfam by way of RNAcentral
GAGGGUAUAGCUCAGUGGUAGAGUACAUGCCUAGCAUGCACAAGGUCCUGGGUUCAAUCCCCAGUACCUUCA